This 374-nucleotide ribosomal RNA is filed under the name uncultured organism. RNAcentral's name for it is "partial 16S ribosomal RNA". It matches the Rfam family "Bacterial small subunit ribosomal RNA", at positions 527 to 896 of the family's 1533-position model. The record is from RNAcentral.
GUAGGUGGCAAGCGUUGUCCGGAAUUAUUGGGCGUAAAGCGCGCGCAGGCGGUUCUUUAAGUCUGAUGUGAAAGCCCACGGCUCAACCGUGGAGGGUCAUUGGAAACUGGAGAACUUGAGUACAGAAGAGGAAAGCGGAAUUCCACGUGAAGCGGUGAAAUGCGUAGAGAUGUGGAGGAACACCAGUGGCGAAGGCGGCUUUCUGGUCUGUAACUGACGCUGAGGCGCGAAAGCGUGGGGAGCAAACAGGAUUAGAUACCCUGGUAGUCCACGCCGUAAACGAUGAGUGCUAAGUGUUAGGGGGGUUUUCCGCCCCCCUUAGUGCUGCAGCUAACGCAUUAAGCACUCCGCCUGGGAGUACGACCGCAAGGUUG